RNAcentral lists this small nuclear RNA (164 nucleotides) under Microtus ochrogaster (prairie vole). Its description in RNAcentral is "U1 spliceosomal RNA (ENSMOCG00000006134.1)". It matches the Rfam family "U1 spliceosomal RNA". Rfam says of the family: U1 is a small nuclear RNA (snRNA) component of the spliceosome (involved in pre-mRNA splicing). Lineage: Eukaryota; Metazoa; Chordata; Mammalia; Rodentia; Cricetidae. The record is from RNAcentral.
AUACUUACCUGGCAAGGGAGAUACCACAAUCAUGAAGGUGGUUUUCCCAGGGCGAGACUUCUCCAUUGCUAUACAGAUGUCCUGACCUCUGUGAUUUCCCCAAACAUGGGAAACUUGACUGCAUAAUUUAUGGUUGUGGGGGACUGUAUUUGCAUUUUCCCCUU